RNAcentral lists this long non-coding RNA (1260 nucleotides) under Panax ginseng (ginseng). RNAcentral's name for it is "long non-coding RNA (PGIN_LNC017828)". The record is from RNAcentral. Lineage: Eukaryota; Viridiplantae; Streptophyta; Magnoliopsida; Apiales; Araliaceae.
CUCUCUCCUCCGCCGCAUCUCCGCCCUCGAUCUUUAGAGGAGCGAUGAGUGAAGUCGGGAGCUCAGCCUUGGUCGUAUAUGGGGUUUGAAGAAAAUGAUGUGCUGUGGGCUAGGGGUUGGUGUUUAGGACUUUUUUUAGUCAAAAGAAUGGUGUCGUCGACUUUAGGGGUACAGGAGAGAGAUUCGAUUUGAAUAUGGGAGAAGUCCAGUGAGGAAUUUAGCUUCUAAAUUCAUGAUGAUGAUACUUUUUGCUGUUGAUUUUGUAAUCGACGUUCUUUGUUUUCCUUCUCUCAUUUGCUACCAAAUCCAAUUGGUAAAUCCAUGUUAUUUCUCUUUCUCUCUCUCUCUCUCUCAUUUCUCACUCCUCAAACCACAAUCCCCAAAUCUGUCAUUUCUCACUCCUCAAACUGAUUUUGAUCCUGAUUUUGAUCUCUCCAAUCGCGAUUUGGUAAGCUCAAUUUUGUUAAAUCUAGGUUUUUGUAGUCAUGUUUAUAUGUGAAUUCGUUUUAUCUGAAAUGAUAUGAAUGAUUUUGUUGCAGAUAUGCUCAUGGAUUUUGAAGAAAUUGAUGCAGAUGAGGGCGAGAAGCUUGAUGACGAACUUGUAUGUGAGAAGCAUGUUGGAAUAUAAGAAAUCUAGGUGAAGUUAGUUUGAAUUUGUUGAAUUUAACUGAUUUUGGGGCUAAAGAGACCACUGGUUGUACUGGAUUAAAUGAGGAUUAUGGAUCUUGUUCUUGUGAAGAACUCUUGGCCGAUUUUAAAGCAGAAAUUGGUGAAGCUUGAAAAAUAUCUGAAUUACAUUUUGGAAGAAGGUAAGGAUGGGUAACAAGUCAUAUCUGAAUUGUGUACUUUAAACUUAAAGGGAAAGGUUUGUUGACCUUGGGGAGAUUGAACUUGUAUGUGAACUUGUAUGGAUACCGAAAAUGUUGGAUAUCAUGCUUGGCUUUCCCGAUCUCUUGAUUCCACAGGUGAAAACAGAGUAGUCAUUUGGUAAUGGUGGUACCAAAACAGAGUAGUCAUUGAAACUGAGUAGCUGGGUGAAGAAUUGGCAUGGAUUUGGCAUUUUGGUACAAAAAUUUUUUUCCCACUAAUUUAGUUGCAAUUAUGUUGUUGGGCAAAGUCAAAUUCCUCUAAGAAUUGGCAUGGACUUGGCAUUAUGUUUUUUUCCACUAAUUUAGUUUCAAUGUUCAGGUUUAUUAAAAUUUAAUCAUUUAAAAUAAUUAUUCUAUGUUUGUAGUAUUUUCUACAAACAUUGAUAUUACA